Molecule: long non-coding RNA, 589 nt
Organism: Glycine soja
Lineage: Eukaryota; Viridiplantae; Streptophyta; Magnoliopsida; Fabales; Fabaceae
Exons: 3
Source: RefSeq, a predicted model, not a curated record
CAUGCUUUGUAUACUUUUGCAGAACGCGCAAAGUGUGACAUUGUUUGGUGGUUUGAGUAAAACUGGCUGUUGCAUGAUGGCUUGUUUCCCUGCAAACAAAAGGUCAAGCAUAUCAGUAACAAAAGGUAAUUUUACUUACUUCAUGGGUGCGGAAGACUGUGGUAAAAGAAUUUAGCUCCAUCCACCGCAAAAGCAAUUCUUCACUUCUUCUAUAUUUAACUAUAGAAUAGGGUUGAGGGAUUACCUGCAACCAAAAUGCUGAGACAGGAACGUCAUAAGUCCUUAGUUCAUCCCAAAUGUGACGUACAGCAUCUGUGCCACCCUGCAUUCCAACUAUAGCACCUGAUAUUAUCCACUCUGGAAGCUCAGGUAGCCUUCCAAUGCUUUCUGUGGAACGUUCAAUCAGUUCACAAGGUGAGUUCCCAUGCAAUAUCCGCCCUUCAACUGAAUUUCCAUGUAUCUGCAAGCUCCAGUGUACAAAAAAUUUGAAUCUAUACGCUUUAAUUAUAUAUAUAUCUGUAAAAAAAAAGAUUUAACAUUCAAGUCAUGAAUUCAUUACAUUAUAAUAAUUCAGAAUAUUCUUGUUGGA